CUACGGGCGGCUGCAGUGGGGAAUAUUGGACAAUGGGCGCAAGCCUGAUCCAGCAAUGCCGCGUGAGUGAAGACGGCCUUGGGGUUGUAAAACUCUUUCGCUAGGGAAGAUAAUGACUGUACCUAGUAAAGAAGUCCCGGCUAACUCCGUGCCAGCAGCCGCGGUAAUACGGAGGGGACUAGCGUUGUUCGGAAUUUCUGGGCGUAAAGAGUUCGUAGGCGGACUGACAAGUUAGAGGUGAAAUCCCAGGGCUCAACCCUGGAACUGCCUUUAAAACUGUCAGUCUAGAGACCGGAAGAGGUUAGGGGAAUACCUAGUGUAGAGGUGAAAUUCGUAGAUAUUAGGUGGAACACCAGUGGCGAAGGCGCCUAACUGGUCCGGUACUGACGCUGAGGAACGAAAGCGUGGGGAGCAAACAGGAUUAGAUACCCGCGUAGUC
Molecule: ribosomal RNA, 439 nt
Filed under: uncultured bacterium
Lineage: Bacteria
Description: partial 16S ribosomal RNA
Rfam family: Bacterial small subunit ribosomal RNA
Source: RNAcentral